Molecule: long non-coding RNA, 907 nt
Organism: Dromaius novaehollandiae (emu)
Lineage: Eukaryota; Metazoa; Chordata; Aves; Casuariiformes; Dromaiidae
Exons: 4
Source: RefSeq, a predicted model, not a curated record
CCCGUCCAACAACACCUCCCGGGGAGGCAGAGGGGACGGGAGAUGCUGCCGGGGAUGCAGGAGGCGGCCGCGGGCUGGGAGCCCCCCUCGGGGCGGAGGAGAUAAGGAGAUUCGACUAGCAGAUUCCCCAGGCUGAACCCCUCCGCCGGGCUGAAUUUAGCAGUGGCAGAGAUAACCGGGAGAUAAGGACUGAUACCCGGGAGGACAGCGGGAGCCCGGCAGGCGGCCGCGGGAAGGGGGAGAAGCCGGAGGCAGAGUCCCGUGGCGCUUGGGGAACGGGAUGGAGCGUCUCCACGGGACGCCCCAAAGAGGAGCAGAACGCGCGGUCAGAAAGAGAGGAGCAGGAGUGACUUCUCCUCCUGUUGCUGUGUAUCCAGAUGUGCCGCAUUUCCAGAGGACAAACAUGUUUCUCUCCACUCGUUUCAAUACCUCUGACGAUUCUUUUCUCUACUAAAGAAGUGUGAUCGUAUUUUCUGAAGUUUGUCCAAUUUAUACUGAAAAUCAGCGCUUUCUUAAAAAAAAAAAAAAAAGCAAACAUUUAAUUAAAUCCGUUUCGAAAUGCCCAAGCAGCCUGUGUCUUCGCUGCCGUUGCCAGGAGCAGAGAAAAUUUCAAGGACCUGCCUGCCUCCGCUUUAUCGCGCUGCCUUUUCCAGGAGUCCCGAUGUGUCGGCUGCGCGGCCGCGAGGAUUUCAGGAAUAAUCGCAAAAUUCCUGCGACAGGUUUUGCGUGUGUGCGGCCAGAUCCAGCCGCUUUCGGCAGGGGAAUAUUAGUCCCCGUUGCAAAACACCGCGGCGGCGCCUGGAGAUGAACCGCUCCGUGGUGCGGAUCGCGCGAAUUAGCAGGCAGGAGGGGACUGAUGUAUUUCGGACCCGUUUUUCUCCUUAUUUCCUAAACGUGCGAAAAAGCA